This 309-nucleotide unclassified non-coding RNA is filed under the name plant metagenome. RNAcentral's name for it is "partial contains 5.8S ribosomal RNA, internal transcribed spacer 2, and large subunit ribosomal RNA". The stretch from base 1 to 105 matches the Rfam family "5.8S ribosomal RNA", at positions 50 to 154 of the family's 154-position model. The record is from RNAcentral.
GAAAUGCGAUAAGUAAUGUGAAUUGCAGAUUUCAGUGAAUCAUCGAAUCUUUGAACGCACAUUGCGCCCGCCAGUAUUCUGGCGGGCAUGCCUGUUCGAGCGUCAUUUCAACCAUCAAGCCCCCGGGCUUGUGUUGGGGACCUGCGGCUGCCGCAGGCCCCGAAAACCAGUGGCGGGCUCGCUGUCACACCGGGCGUAGUAGAUUUUUCGUCUCGCCCAGGGCGUGCUGCGGGUUCCGGCCGUUAAAAAGCCUCUCUUUUAACCCAAGGUUGACCUCGGAUCAGGUAGGAAGACCCGCUGAACUUAAGC